AAGACUAGACCUCUCAGGGAUCAUUUCUAAAGCUUCUGACUUGAGAAUGAGUUCUAAAGUGUUUGGUGUCGCUGACCACAUGAUGAGUCGUGCUAUUUCUUUCUGAGCAUAACGCUGACGGAGUAAUGAUUCCCUUCAUAUACUCUCGGUCAUUGAUGAGUGGUCUUUGACUCUUUAUGAAGGAUUGGAAAGGGAAUAUGAGUGAU
Etheostoma spectabile (orangethroat darter) is the source of this 206-nucleotide small nucleolar RNA. RefSeq annotates it as small nucleolar RNA U3. The record is from RefSeq and is a predicted model, not a curated record. NCBI's taxonomy places the organism in Eukaryota, Metazoa, Chordata, Actinopteri, Perciformes, Percidae. The transcript has a single exon.